UUUAAUUUUUGACUCUUCGUUUUAUUUAAAUUUUUUUAAAAUUGAUAUUUUUGUUUUUAUUAGAUAAAAAAUCAUGAAUAGUACUUUACGUGUGAUUAAUUUUUUUUUAAUUUUUUUAAAAUUUUUUAAAUAAGACGGAUAAUAAAGGUUAGACACGGAAAUCGAAACCAACG
Molecule: microRNA precursor, 173 nt
Filed under: Oryza brachyantha (malo sina)
Lineage: Eukaryota; Viridiplantae; Streptophyta; Magnoliopsida; Poales; Poaceae
Description: MIR812 microRNA precursor family
Source: Rfam by way of RNAcentral